GAAGAAGAAACUCGAAUGUCGGAGUGGCAGAGAUUGAAAGACGAUGAGAAUGAACGUUUACUUAAAGAAAGCAGAACUAUUUCUGAUAUUCUUUUGUUUCAAAUGUCGAUGUUUACAGAAAUCUUCCAUCCCAGUUGCUUCAGUUUUUCUCGUGGCUCUCGGCGACUUUAAGUUUUUCCUUUGUAAUGAAAACUGACGAUGAUUGUUUUGUUAACCUGGAGACCAUCUUACAGCAAUCCAGUAUCAGACUCUCUUAAAUUAUUUGCUGAAAAUGAAAUGAUGCUUACCGUAUCAUGGCAAUGAUAGCGAGACGAAACUUGGCGUAAGUUAUUUCCUUUGGGAAAUUCAAACUACCCGAAGACACUUGCCUUUGUACAUAUGCAACAUAAUAUUUGUACAUAGGUAAACUGAACAAGAAUAAAAAAGAAGAAAAAACAUUCAAAAGAUAUAGUGCGAGAAAAUUAAAUAAUGGACAAACGUAGCUACUAAUGCUUCGGCAAAUUUUCAUUAAAAAGUACCUCGAAAAGCCGUUAUGAAAA
Molecule: long non-coding RNA, 539 nt
Organism: Xenia sp. Carnegie-2017
Lineage: Eukaryota; Metazoa; Cnidaria; Anthozoa; Malacalcyonacea; Xeniidae
Exons: 4
Source: RefSeq, a predicted model, not a curated record